GAUUAUGGAUAUCAUUAUAAUGUGAUAUGGCACAGGUGUUAUCUUUUCCUAGUGUCAAAGGCUGCAAUAGAGAGAAGGGAUGCAACUUUCU
Molecule: long non-coding RNA, 91 nt
Organism: Myripristis murdjan (pinecone soldierfish)
Lineage: Eukaryota; Metazoa; Chordata; Actinopteri; Holocentriformes; Holocentridae
Exons: 3
Source: RefSeq, a predicted model, not a curated record